RNAcentral lists this ribosomal RNA (465 nucleotides) under Vreelandella stevensii. RNAcentral's name for it is "partial 16S ribosomal RNA". It matches the Rfam family "Bacterial small subunit ribosomal RNA", at positions 338 to 795 of the family's 1533-position model. Lineage: Bacteria; Pseudomonadati; Pseudomonadota; Gammaproteobacteria; Oceanospirillales; Halomonadaceae. The record is from RNAcentral.
CCUACGGCGGGCAGCAGUGGGGAAUAUUGGACAAUGGGCGAAAGCCUGAUCCAGCCAUGCCGCGUGUGUGAAGAAGGCCUUCGGGUUGUAAAGCACUUUCAGUGGGGAAGAAAGCCUUGGGGCUAAUACCCUCGAGGAAGGACAUCACCCACAGAAGAAGCACCGGCUAACUCCGUGCCAGCAGCCGCGGUAAUACGGAGGGUGCGAGCGUUAAUCGGAAUUACUGGGCGUAAAGCGCGCGUAGGCGGUCUGAUAAGCCGGUUGUGAAAGCCCCGGGCUCAACCUGGGAACGGCAUCCGGAACUGUCAGGCUAGAGUGCAGGAGAGGAAGGUAGAAUUCCCGGUGUAGCGGUGAAAUGCGUAGAGAUCGGGAGGAAUACCAGUGGCGAAGGCAGCCUUCUGGACUGACACUGACGCUGAGGUGCGAAAGCGUGGGUAGCAAACAGGAUUAGAUACCCGUGUAGUC